RNAcentral lists this ribosomal RNA (378 nucleotides) under Triticum aestivum (bread wheat). RNAcentral describes it as "partial small subunit ribosomal RNA". Lineage: Eukaryota; Viridiplantae; Streptophyta; Magnoliopsida; Poales; Poaceae. The record is from RNAcentral.
AUGCCAAUCUUCCAAAGUGCAAGUGUGGCAGUUCGACAGAGGGCUCACCCUGCCGCGGAGCGUGACGGCGAUACCAAUGGUGUUGCCCUCGCGGAUCUUGAAGCUGGCGACGGAGUUCUUGGCCUUGGUCUUGACGGGGUACUGGCCGGUGAUGGAGGCGAGGUCCUUCAUGGCGGCCUCCAGGCCCUUGUUGUUCCCCGCAUCCACCCCCAGCCCGCAGUUCACCACAAUCUUCUCAAGCUUGGGCACCUAGCAGCACCGAUAACAACCAAUCAAUCAAGAAACAACUACCGGGCAGGCCAAUCUACGACGCAAGAAAUGGGCUCGAUUCAUCAGAGCAGAGCAGGGGAGGGUGCUACCUGGUGGACAUUGGUGUAG